RNAcentral lists this ribosomal RNA (253 nucleotides) under uncultured bacterium. RNAcentral describes it as "partial 16S ribosomal RNA". It matches the Rfam family "Bacterial small subunit ribosomal RNA", at positions 524 to 776 of the family's 1533-position model. The record is from RNAcentral.
UACAGAGGUGGCAAGCGUUGUUCGGAAUUACUGGGCGUAAAGGGCGCGUAGGCGGUUCGUUAAGUCCUGUGUGAAAUCCCUCGGCUCAACUGGGGAACUGCACAGGAAACUAGCGGGCUUGAGUUCGGGAGAGGGAAGCGGAAUUCCGGGUGUAGCGGUGAAAUGCGUAGAUAUCCGGAGGAACACCGGUGGCGAAGGCGGCUUCCUGGACCGACACUGACGCUGAGGCGCGAAAGCUAGGGGAGCAAACGGG